CAGUCGCCGCGGUAAUACGGAGGGAGCUAGCGUUGUUCGGAAUUACUGGGCGUAAAGCGCACGUAGGCGGCUUUGUAAGUUAGAGGUGAAAGCCUGGAGCUCAACUCCAGAAUUGCCUUUAAGACUGCAUCGCUUGAAUCCGGGAGAGGUGAGUGGAAUUCCGAGUGUAGAGGUGAAAUUCGUAGAUAUUCGGAAGAACACCAGUGGCGAAGGCGACUGACUGGACAAGUAUUGACGCUGAGGUGCGAAAGCGUGGGGAGCAAACAGGAUUAGAUACCCCAGUAGUCCCUGUCUCUUAUAC
Molecule: ribosomal RNA, 301 nt
Filed under: uncultured bacterium
Lineage: Bacteria
Description: partial 16S ribosomal RNA
Rfam family: Bacterial small subunit ribosomal RNA
Source: RNAcentral